This 314-nucleotide ribosomal RNA is filed under the name uncultured bacterium. RNAcentral describes it as "partial 16S ribosomal RNA". It matches the Rfam family "Bacterial small subunit ribosomal RNA", at positions 499 to 807 of the family's 1533-position model. The record is from RNAcentral.
UUAUAAGAGACAGCAGCAGCCGCGGGAAUACGGAGGGUGCAAGCGUUAAUCGGAAUUACUGGGCGUAAAGCGCACGCAGGCGGUCUGACAAGUCAGAUGUGAAAUCCCCGGGCUUAACCUGGGAACUGCAUUUGAAACUGUCAGGCUGGAGUCUUGUAGAGGGGGGUGGAAUUCCAGGUGUAGCGGUGAAAUGCGUAGAGAUCUGGAGGAAUACCGGUGGCGAAGGCGGCCCCCUGGACAAAGACUGACGCUCAGGUGCGAAAGCGUGGGGAGCAAACAGGAUUAGAUACCCCUGUAGUCCCUGUCUCUUAUAC